RNAcentral lists this ribosomal RNA (405 nucleotides) under uncultured bacterium. Its description in RNAcentral is "partial 16S ribosomal RNA". It matches the Rfam family "Bacterial small subunit ribosomal RNA", at positions 28 to 526 of the family's 1533-position model. The record is from RNAcentral.
GACGAACGAUGGCGGCGUGCUUAACACAUGCAAGUCGAGCGGAGCGGCGAACGGGUGAGUAACUCGUGAGUAACUGCCCACCUCUCUGGGAUAAAAGUUGGAAACGGAUGCUAAUACCGGAAAGAGGGGGAUGACUCGCGUCCUAUCAGCUUGUUGGAGGGGUAGUGGCCUACCAAGGCGAAGAAGAGUAGACGGCCGUAGAGGGCGACAGGCCACAUUGGGCUGAGUGGCGGCCCCAACUCCGACGAGAGGCAGCAGUGGCGGAUAUUGCACAAUGGGCGGAAGCGUGAUGCAGCGACGCCGCGUGGGGGGAGACGGUGUUCGGGUUGUAAGCUCCUUUCACCAUCGACGCGGUAGACGGACGAGAAGCACCGGCUAAAUACGGGCCAGCAGCCGCGGUAAAGC